This is a long non-coding RNA of Xiphophorus couchianus (Monterrey platyfish), 2093 nucleotides long. RefSeq lists it as uncharacterized. NCBI's taxonomy places the organism in Eukaryota, Metazoa, Chordata, Actinopteri, Cyprinodontiformes, Poeciliidae. The record is from RefSeq and is a predicted model, not a curated record. The transcript has 2 exons.
CAGCAGCUCUGCGUUAGCGACUCGCCGUCUGACCCGGUUCCCGCUCCGCUCUGAUUGGCUGGCCUGUCGCUUCCAGUCCCAGAUGGACGCUCUGAUUGGUCGCCUCCUGCUGACUAAACAAACGGCCUCAUCAAUGAUUAACGUGCCUGUCAGACACGACUCAGGGCCAAAUUAAUCAUUGAUGCCUGACCUGAAACCACAAAGGAAAAAUGCAGCGUCGCCAUGGCAACAAGACAGUGUUUCCUGCUUUUAUUCAACUCCUGAACUCUUCGUGACAAAAAUGUUUCGGUUUGUGCAAAAACCUUUUUUAAUCACCAAAUGAUCUGAAAAGUUUCAGAAUCUCAUCAGUUCACAGAAAAAAAAUAAUUUGUUACACAAAACAGGAAAAUAAACAUGGAAGAGGAAGUGACCAUUUUUACAACAGGAAGUGGAACAAAUGGAAAUUAAUCUGCUUGCUGUUAUUUUGUGAAUCUUAAAAAAUGUGAUAAACAUUUUUUUGUCAUCUAAACCAAGAAAUUAACUUAACACUGAAGUCGAUCCUGCUUUAGACCUUUGUUUUCCUUCCACUCAACUUUCCAGAAAAAGCACAGAGGAAGCUCAGCCUGACAGCUGCUGACACAAUGAGCUUCAGGUUUUUAUCUCACCUUUCGUUCAGAAGAUGAAAAUUAAACCAGGAUCUCCAUAAAACCCGUCAGCAGAACGAAGUUCUGAGAUGUUCUGGUAGACCUGGUGGACCGGAACCAGAAUCAGCAGGCGACAUGGCGACCCAGAUCAUCUCCGGUCGUUUCCACUCUUCCUCCAUCAACCUCCAGACAAAAUGAAAACUUGACUUUGAUCCUAACCCAGCAGCUGUCCGGUUCUGGUUCUGUUCAGUCCAGGUGAGACAGUUCUGAUGUUUAAAACAAGCAGUGGGAUAUUUCCUCACCUUUUCUCCUUCCACUAAACUUUCUUCACGUUUCGAGCGUUUUGAUUGAUAUUUUUCCUCAGUCUCUCUCUUGUUGAAUUGUGACCUCUGACCUUAACGGAGAUGGGUCGGGAAGAUGAAUGGUUUAAUAUGGAAACCCAUCUAUGCCAAGAAUUAAAAAAUAAAAUCCCAACAGAAAAACCUGCCUACAAGUUCUCAUGUAGUGAUUACCAAAGUAAAAGUUGUAAUUACGAGUUUUAUGUCAUAAUUAUGAAAUAUAAUUGGAGUUUUAGGUCUUAAUUUAAGGCUUUAGGAAUAAAUAAGAAAAUAAAAGCCGUAAAAGUUUUAAAAUUUUCUCCUGAAUCCCAGAAGUUUAGAAACGGAGCGAUCCGUUUCCUCCUCAGGUCUUCCAGCCUACUUCGUGUUGUCAGACAGGUUCCAGUAAUCCUGCAGGUGUAAAUACUUUAACUAGACCAUCUCCCUGAUCAUCCUCUGUUUUUCAGGUGCAGAGUAGUUUGUUUCUAAAUGUUUCUGACGGAUAGGUUACCUGUACAGGUGAGACUCACUCAGACUCUCUGGUUCUUUAUUGUGGUUUUUGGCUGCUAAACAUUUCAUCAUUACAAAUAUUCUUUAACUGAUUCUGGAAGAAGUAAAAGCAGUAUUGUCCAGGUGUGACUCCGCCCCCAAUACCUGUCCGAAGCCAGAGGGCGGAGUCAGAUUAAAGGUGGUGAGGGGGGGAAGAGUAAAGAUCAUCAUUUACAAAUCAAAAUUAUUUUUCUCCUACAACAACGACGAUGAUGAUGAUGAUGUGCAAGCUUAACAAAACUUUAAAAUAAUUAAUACAGUGUUUUUCUUUUUUUCCUCAGAGUGAGACCUCCCGUCCGUCUGAGCGGCUAACGCAUGGAAAGUGUUUUUAAUACAGAAGAGGAAGAACAAGAAGUGACUGGUCCCAGGGCCGUCGAACCGGGGCAGGGGGCGGGGCUACCCAGCAGGUAAAAUCCAUCCAGGUAAAACCAGGGAAGGGGCGGGGCUACCCAGCAGGUAAAAUCCAUCCAGGUAAAACCGGGGAAGGGGCGGGGCUACCCAGCAGGUAAAAUCCAUCCAGGUAAAACCAGGGAAGGGGCGGGGCUACCCAGCAGGUAAAAUCCAUCCAGGUAAAACCGGGGAAGGGGCGGGGCUACCCAGCAGG